This 142-nucleotide unclassified non-coding RNA is filed under the name uncultured Verrucisporota. RNAcentral describes it as "sequence contains ITS2". Lineage: Eukaryota; Fungi; Ascomycota; Dothideomycetes; Mycosphaerellales; Mycosphaerellaceae. The record is from RNAcentral.
CACCACUCAAGCCUGGCUUGGUAUUGGGUGCCGCGGGCCUCCCGCGCGCCUCAAAGUCUCUCCGGCCGAGCGGCCCCGUCUCUAAGCGUUGUGGAAACUAUUCGCGGUGAGGGGGGCGGCGCGGCCGUUAAACGUUUCUCAA